Molecule: long non-coding RNA, 776 nt
Filed under: Homo sapiens (human)
Lineage: Eukaryota; Metazoa; Chordata; Mammalia; Primates; Hominidae
Description: HSALNT0306348
Source: RNAcentral
ACUCAAAUAUGUCCAAACAGCCAGAGGGGAAGUGAAUGACCAACUGGGUAGGCUGAUGAAUAUUUUCCUGGUAAAUGCAUAACUUUCCCCACAACUGUGAUGCUUUAUCCUUUGACAUUAAGAAUGCUGUUUGCAGAAGUAACAUUCCUUUGAACACUCAGCUUUCUGAAAUGGUGUCCCACCGCAAGGACUGGAGAAGGGUAAACCUCAGGUUCUCCUCCUGCCUUUUGCUAAGUAUAUGUCUUGAUGACAAGCCUUCUGCUGAUGAGCUGUGUUUCUGGACCGAUCAUGGUAGAAGUCAAUUAACGUGUCCCUCACUUGGGGUUUCUCAAGGCUGCACUGAUGAGGAAACUGAAACAGAAAAUCCAGAGUAAAUUCCACCAGGCCACACAGCAAGGUCUGAUAGAGCCAGGAGAGACUUUAUGAAAUCCAGACUCUCACACUAAUGCUCUAUCAGCUAGACCUCCAUGUGAGUCUCCCCAAUGUAGGUAGGAAGUGCUUUCCCUAAAAUGCUCAUAAAGCAAAUCAGAGCAAUGCUGCAUUCCAUGUGAUUUCUAAUUUGAAAUGCAAACAAUUGCCAAUUUGUUUGACUUGUAUUUAUAAUUAUUUCCUUGUGAAUUACUCAUCACUAAAUGCUUUAUAAAUAUUUUCUCUUUUUUUCCUCAAUGUCUAUGGAAUGAUCACAGCAUAGAAAAUGUUGGCUUUCAAGGAUUUAUUAAUAUCUCCUUUUGAAAUAACAUGUAUUUGUAAGACAGAAUAAAAUCACUUUAAAGAAA